CUCCUACGGGAGGCAGCAGUGGGGAAUUUCCGUCAAUGGGCGAAAGCCUGACGGAGCAAGACCGCGUGGGGAGGAAGGACGUCUUGGUUGGUAACCCUUUACCUUCUGGAGAAAGUUAGUGAAAGACAACCUAGACGGUACCGACGAGGAAUACAGCAUCGGCUAACUCCGUGCCAGCAGCCGCGGUAAGACGGAGGAUGCAAGCGUUAUCCGGUCGACGCGGCCG
This 226-nucleotide ribosomal RNA is filed under the name uncultured bacterium. RNAcentral describes it as "partial 16S ribosomal RNA". It matches the Rfam family "Bacterial small subunit ribosomal RNA", at positions 336 to 546 of the family's 1533-position model. The record is from RNAcentral.